AUCAUCCAUCAAACACACUUUGGAUAAAGAAUACAGAGUAGAAGAUGAGUAUAUUUUGCAUAAUGGACUUAGCAAUCAACCAAAGUCAGUUUUUAUGUGUUAUUUAUGAGUCAAACAAUGAGGACUUUCGAAACAGAAACAAACCACUAUGGCUAGUUUUACCCACUGCAUAAUCGAAUUAUAGAAAUACUAGAGCUCAAUAGAAUCAUGAACUGAGUUUACAACAAGCUUUGAGUUUCGUUCACAAUAGAGUAUUAAGAAUGAAC
Molecule: long non-coding RNA, 266 nt
Filed under: Salvia miltiorrhiza (redroot sage)
Lineage: Eukaryota; Viridiplantae; Streptophyta; Magnoliopsida; Lamiales; Lamiaceae
Description: long non-coding RNA (SMIL_LNC001605)
Source: RNAcentral